GUUGGCGGUGUGCUUAUGCAUGCAAGUCGUACGAGGAUUUUCGGAUUGUAACCGAGUGGCGAACGGCUGAGUAACACGUAAGUAACCUGCCUGCAAGGUGGGGAAUAACCUGUCGAAAGGCAGGCUAAUACCGCAUAUGAUAAUCGAGUGUUGCUUGAUUAUUAAAGCCUUAGGGUGCUUGGAGAUGGGCGUGCGUCUGAUUAGCUAGUUGGUGAGGUAAUGGCUUACCAAGGCGAUGAUCAGUAGCUGGUCUGAGAGGAUGGUCAGCCAGAUGGGGAUUGAGAUACGGCCCCAACUCCUACGGGAGGCAGCAGCAAGGGAUAUUGGGCAAUGGGCGAAAGCCUGACCCAGCGACACCGCGUGAGGGAGGAAGGCCUUCGGGUUGUAAACCUCUUUUCUCGAGGAAGAAUUUUGACGGUACUCGAGGAAUAAGCCUCGGCUAACUACGUGCCAGCAGCCGCGGUAAGACGUAGGAGGCGAACGUUAUCCGGAUUUACUGGGCGUAAAGAGAGCGUAGGCGGCUUUUUAAGUCAAGUGUGAAAUCUUGUGACUCAAUCAGAAGAAGCCGCUUGAUACUGGAUGGCUUGAGGGAAGCAGAAGGAAAUGGAAUUCCCAGUGUAGCGGUGAAAUGCGUUGAUAUUGGGAAGAACACCAGUGGCGAAGGCGAUUUCCUAGGCUUUUCCUGACGCUGAGGCUCGAAAGCGUGGGGAGCGAAGCGGAUUAGAUACCCCGUAGUCCCGCCUUAAACGGUGGACAUUAGGUAUGGGGAGACGACCCUCUCCGUGUCGAAGCUAACGCUUUAAUGUCCCCGCCUGGGGAGUACGCCGCAAGGCUAAAACUCAAGAUAAGUUGAGACG
This 857-nucleotide ribosomal RNA is filed under the name uncultured bacterium. RNAcentral's name for it is "bacterial SSU rRNA". It matches the Rfam family "Bacterial small subunit ribosomal RNA", at positions 35 to 918 of the family's 1533-position model. The record is from RNAcentral.